This 281-nucleotide long non-coding RNA is filed under the name Setaria italica (foxtail millet). Its description in RNAcentral is "long non-coding RNA (SITA_LNC002117)". Lineage: Eukaryota; Viridiplantae; Streptophyta; Magnoliopsida; Poales; Poaceae. The record is from RNAcentral.
CUCAUAGGUCGUCUGAUGCAGUGCCACAUAGGAUUUUUGAUGAUGUGGAGGAGAGAGAGCGAGGAGAGAGAAAGAGGUCGUUGCUUCGCGAAACAACCACCUCAUGAGCUAAAUUGUAGGACUACGAGACAACUUAACAACCAUUGUACGAGUUAUUGUUGCCAUGCAACUCAUAAUAUUUUAUUUUUCUUAUGCACAAAUUAAGGAAUUAUAUACCACUACCAGACAACUUAUAGGACAACCUAUUGUACGGGUUGCCUGUUGAAUCGUCUCAAGAUUAC